Molecule: ribosomal RNA, 497 nt
Filed under: uncultured bacterium
Lineage: Bacteria
Description: partial 16S ribosomal RNA
Rfam family: Bacterial small subunit ribosomal RNA
Source: RNAcentral
GAUGAACGCUGGCGGCGUGCCUAAUACAUGCAAGUCGAGCGAACGGACGAGAAGCUUGCUUCUCUGAUGUUAGCGGCGGACGGGUGAGUAACACGUGGAUAACCUACCUAUAAGACUGGGAUAACUUCGGGAAACCGGAGCUAAUACCGGAUAAUAUUUUGAACCGCAUGGUUCAAAAGUGAAAGACGGUCUUGCUGUCACUUAUAGAUGGAUCCGCGCUGCAUUAGCUAGUUGGUAAGGUAACGGCUUACCAAGGCAACGAUGCAUAGCUGACCUGAGAGGGUGAUCGGCCACACUGGAACUGAGACACGGUCCAGACUCCUACGGGAGGCAGCAGUAGGGAAUCUUCCGCAAUGGGCGAAAGCCUGACGGAGCAACGCCGCGUGAGUGAUGAAGGUCUUCGGAUCGUAAAACUCUGUUAUUAGGGAAGAACAUAUGUGUAAGUAACUGUGCACAUCCUGACGGUACCUAAUCAGAAAGCCACGGCUAACUACGUG